GCUUGCUGGGGGAUUAGUGGCGAACGGGUGAGUAACACGUGAGUAACCUGCCCUUGACUCUGGGAUAAGCCUGGGAAACUGGGUCUAAUACCGGAUACGACCAUCUGGCGCAUGUCAUGGUGGUGGAAAGCUUUUGUGGUUUUGGAUGGACUCGCGGCCUAUCAGCUUGUUGGUGGGGUAAUGGCCUACCAAGGCGACGACGGGUAGCCGGCCUGAGAGGGUGACCGGCCACACUGGGACUGAGACACGGCCCAGACUCCUACGGGAGGCAGCAGUGGGGAAUAUUGCACAAUGGGCGCAAGCCUGAUGCAGCGACGCCGCGUGAGGGAUGACGGCCUUCGGGUUGUAAACCUCUUUCAGUAGGGAAGAAGCGAAAGUGACGGUACCUGCAGAAGAAGCGCCGGCUAACUACGUGCCAGCAGCCGCGGUAAUACGUAGGGCGCAAGCGUUAUCCGGAAUUAUUGGGCGUAAAGAGCUCGUAGGCGGUUUGUCGCGUCUGCUGUGAAAGACCGGGGCUCAACUCCGGUUCUGCAGUGGGUACGGGCAGACUAGAGUGCAGUAGGGGAGACUGGAAUUCCUGGUGUAGCGGUGAAAUGCGCAGAUAUCAGGAGGAACACCGAUGGCGAAGGCAGGUCUCUGGGCUGUAACUGACGCUGAGGAGCGAAAGCAUGGGGAGCGAACAGGAUUAGAUACCCUGGUAGUCCAUGCCGUAAACGUUGGGCACUAGGUGUGGGGGACAUUCCACGUUUUCCGCGCCGUAGCUAACGCAUUAAGUGCCCCGCCUG
RNAcentral lists this ribosomal RNA (785 nucleotides) under Arthrobacter sp. MBRL 213. RNAcentral's name for it is "bacterial SSU rRNA". It matches the Rfam family "Bacterial small subunit ribosomal RNA", at positions 78 to 875 of the family's 1533-position model. Lineage: Bacteria; Bacillati; Actinomycetota; Actinomycetes; Micrococcales; Micrococcaceae. The record is from RNAcentral.